Molecule: long non-coding RNA, 1879 nt
Organism: Sapajus apella (tufted capuchin)
Lineage: Eukaryota; Metazoa; Chordata; Mammalia; Primates; Cebidae
Exons: 2
Source: RefSeq, a predicted model, not a curated record
UCCAAAGGAUCACAGCUCCUCACCAGCUAGGGAUCAAAGAUGGAUGGAGAAUGAAUCUGAUGAAUUGACAGAAACAGGCUUCAGAAGGUUUCCCCCAGGAAGCCAUGGGCAUGCCCAUCCUUUAUGCCGGGCUUCUGGAAGACUCUCCUCUGGAGCUUUACCUGCUACAAAUCUUCAGACUCUGUUAGCCAAAGCCCAGAGACUGCUGGCUGUAAUGGGCUUGUGGUCCUACCACCAAUUUUUUAUACCAGGAGAGUCAGCCUUGCAAUCCUAAGACCUGAGGCAGGAGCCUGAAGACUCAGGGGUUCAACAGGGGUCUUUCAAUGGCACUUGGGGAGAGAUGUCAAGAACCCCACUUCUGCUUUGUCCCAAUUCUAAGAACUUGAAAAGAAAUCCAGAGGAGAUAAUUGAUGUUUAACAUUUUAAUAUAUUUGAGAUACUAAUGGAUCCCUUUGAGGAUUCAUAAAAGGCAGGAACUCUUAUUUUAGUAACACACACACAAGUGUGCGCACACACACGCCUUUAUAUACAAUUUUUGUGCAUUCAUAGCUUCAGUUUAGUGAUUCUUCUGUGACCUCACACUGCCUUCCAUGGGUUGCAGAAGUGUAGGGAUGGAGGUUUGUUGAUCCGAUUUUAAGUAGAUGCUAUCCUAGGCGGUUGGUAAGUCUUACUAAAUUAUACAUGUAGACACGUUACAUAUAUGUAUUUAAAAGUCUUGUCUUUGGGGAAUAUUUAAAACAACUAAAAUGGUAAAAUCAUUCCAUUGUAGAAACCAACAGUUGCCACCAAUUAUUUGCAAAUCUGUACAGGUCCGAGAUUCACUCUGGACAGCCGAGAAACCUGGUGAACUCUUCUUUUGCCAUGGAGACUGAGGACAUUAAACAAGGGAGUUUACUCUGGGGGCAGUAGAAAGAUCAGUGAUCAGUUUACUUUGGCCCCAGGAGCACUGGACUCUCUUCAGCUUAACCAGCCACCUCUCACGGGCCCAUCUGAAGGUCUUGGGACUUAACCUGUCUUGGUGAAAGAGCAAUGGGAAGUCUAAUCCUUAAAUAAUGUUGGAAGAAAUUAUGAAUAACACUUUUCAAGAAAGUAUGUCACAGGACAGUGGGGACAGCUCAGGCGAUUGAGUCCAUAGUCCUAGGUUCUAGCUUUCCAUCUUGCUGGACAGCCUACCAGUUAUGUCUGUCCUCCAGCUGAGCUCAGUUUUUGUCUCUGUAAAAUCAGAUCUCUCUACUAAAUGGUCUCUCAGGGUGUGUUUUGCCAAAGGGCCCAGUAGCAAUGGAGGGAGACAUAAAGCAAUCAGAGCCACUUCAUUAGUUCACUGUGUAUUUGGUAUGUAGUCCAUGUUGGGUGUUCUGUAAUAAUGAUAGUUGUCAUUACCAUCUAUUGGUGUCAUUACCAUCUAUUGGUCAGACAGGGCAAGUACUCUAACAGCAAUGUGAGUAAUCUUCAGAAGGAUAAGGUAGACAUUUGUACUCCUAUUACUAAUGAGAAACAGAAGCUCAGAGUAGAUGAGGAACUUGUCCAGUAUGAUGCAGCUAUUAAGUGGUCUAACAUCCAAACCCAGGAGUCUUUGACUCCAAUGCCAAGCCCAUUUUAUUAUUCCACAGAUUGCAUGUGACAAUACGCAGUGAAUGAAUACACAGGUGAUUAUUAAUAGAAGGUGGGCACAAGGAACUGGCAUACAAAGAAAAAGUGCUGCUAAGAUCUGUCCGCUCUGUUCUCUGUGAUAGAUUGCCUAGGGCUUAGAGGUCAGCAUCCUUGCAGGGUCCUUGAUGUAGUGAGAGCUGAGGGGCUGAACUCAGGAGCUGUGCACAUGAGACUUAGAAGGGGAAGAUGUUGGUCAGGAUAUAAAUAAAAAUUAGAUGAAAAAUGCUAA